UACAGAGGUCUCAAGCGUUGUUCGGAUUCAUUGGGCGUAAAGGGUGCGUAGGCGGUUCGGCAAGUCACGUGUGAAAUCUCCACGCUCAACGUGGAGGCGCCACGUGAGACUGCUGUGACUCGAGUCCGGUAGGGGAGCGUGGAAUUCCCGGUGUAGCGGUGAAAUGCGCAGAGAUCGGGAGGAACACCCGUAGCGAAGGCGGCGCUCUGGGCCGGUACUGACGCUGAGGAGCGAAAGCGUGGGGAGCAAACAGG
Molecule: ribosomal RNA, 254 nt
Filed under: uncultured bacterium
Lineage: Bacteria
Description: partial 16S ribosomal RNA
Rfam family: Bacterial small subunit ribosomal RNA
Source: RNAcentral